AUUGAACGCUGGCGGCAGGCCUAACACAUGCAAGUCGAACGGUAACAGGAAGAAGCUUGCUUCUUUGCUGACGCGUGGCGGACGGGUGAGUAAUGUCUGGGAAACUGCCUGAUGGAGGGGGAUAACUACUGGAAACGGUAGCUAAUACCGCAUAACGUCGCAAGCCCAAAGAGGGGGACCUUCGGGCCUCUUGCCAUCGGAUGUGCCCAGAUGGGAUUAGCUAGUAGGUGGGGUAACGGCUCACCUAGGCGACGAUCCCUAGCUGGUCUGAGAGGAUGACCAGCCACACUGGAACUGAGACACGGUCCAGACUCCUACGGGAGGCAGCAGUGGGGAAUAUUGCACAAUGGGCGCAAGCCUGAUGCAGCCAUGCCGCGUGUAUGAAGAAGGCCUUCGGGUUGUAAAGUACUUUUAGCGGGGAGGAAGGGAGUAAAGUUAAUACCUUUGCUCAUUGACGUUACCCGCAGAAGAAGCACCGGCUAACUACGUG
This 490-nucleotide ribosomal RNA is filed under the name uncultured bacterium. RNAcentral describes it as "partial 16S ribosomal RNA". It matches the Rfam family "Bacterial small subunit ribosomal RNA", at positions 30 to 507 of the family's 1533-position model. The record is from RNAcentral.